RNAcentral lists this ribosomal RNA (460 nucleotides) under uncultured bacterium. Its description in RNAcentral is "partial 16S ribosomal RNA". It matches the Rfam family "Bacterial small subunit ribosomal RNA", at positions 338 to 795 of the family's 1533-position model. The record is from RNAcentral.
CCUACGGGAGGCAGCAGUGAGGAAUAUUGGUCAAUGGACGAGAGUCUGAACCAGCCAAGUAGCGUGAAGGAUGACUGCCCUAUGGGUUGUAAACUUCUUUUAUAUGGGAAUAAAACGUUCCACGUGUGGGAUUUUGUAUGUACCAUAUGAAUAAGGAUCGGCUAACUCCGUGCCAGCAGCCGCGGUAAUAUGGAGGAUCCGAGCGUUAUCCGGAUUUAUUGGGUUUAAAGGGAGCGUAGGUGGAUUGUUAAGUCAGUUGUGAAAGUUUGCGGCUCAACCGUAAAAUUGCAGUUGAAACUGGCAGUCUUGAGUACAGUAGAGGUGGGCGGAAUUCGUGGUGUAGCGGUGAAAUGCUUAGAUAUCACGAAGAACUCCGAUUGCGAAGGCAGUUCACUGGACUGCAACUGACACUGAGGCUCGAAAGUGUGGGUAUCAAACAGGAUUAGAUACCCGAGUAGUC